Molecule: non-coding RNA, 506 nt
Organism: Solanum lycopersicum (tomato)
Lineage: Eukaryota; Viridiplantae; Streptophyta; Magnoliopsida; Solanales; Solanaceae
Source: RefSeq, a predicted model, not a curated record
UAGUUCAAGGGACUUUUUAGCAAUUUCAAGGGAUCGAAGAGAGGAAGCAACGCGACAACAACGCUCGUAGGUUUGGCUCCAUGUGAAACGUACAUUGCCAUAGAUGAUAGAGGUCCUAUUGGCAUAACAUUUUGAGGCUCUUGUUAAGAAGGUAAGAGGAGUUAAAGACACAUAAUUUGCUCCACAUUUUGGUAAAUUAUCCAUAGGAUUAUUAAAGUAAAAAGUUGUGUUUUUUUUAAAAAGAAGUAUAAGGUAUUAAAAUUUGUUGGAGAGGAAAAUAUAGUGAGGUAACUUAGAAUUUGUAUGCAAAAGAUGCAAACUAAGAUGGAAAAUUUAUAGUGAAAAAACUAAGUGUGGAGUCAAGACUAAUGUGGCCCAUUAUGGGUCCCUAAAUGGUUGUUUAGGUGGAAAUCAUAGUGAAGUUGCAAUGACUAUGUAUAGUCAUGUCGUAAUUUACAUGGCAUAAUUAAAUUUUGAGAUAUAAAUUUUUAAAUUUUGAUGGUAAA